RNAcentral lists this ribosomal RNA (512 nucleotides) under Vibrio sp. UmAM_1_64. Its description in RNAcentral is "bacterial SSU rRNA". It matches the Rfam family "Bacterial small subunit ribosomal RNA", at positions 372 to 876 of the family's 1533-position model. The record is from RNAcentral. Lineage: Bacteria; Pseudomonadati; Pseudomonadota; Gammaproteobacteria; Vibrionales; Vibrionaceae.
UGGGCGCAAGCCUGAUGCAGCCAUGCCGCGUGUGUGAAGAAGGCCUUCGGGUUGUAAAGCACUUUCAGUCGUGAGGAAGGUAGUGUAGUUAAUAGCUGCAUUAUUUGACGUUAGCGACAGAAGAAGCACCGGCUAACUCCGUGCCAGCAGCCGCGGUAAUACGGAGGGUGCGAGCGUUAAUCGGAAUUACUGGGCGUAAAGCGCAUGCAGGUGGUUUGUUAAGUCAGAUGUGAAAGCCCGGGGCUCAACCUCGGAAUUGCAUUUGAAACUGGCAGACUAGAGUACUGUAGAGGGGGGUAGAAUUUCAGGUGUAGCGGUGAAAUGCGUAGAGAUCUGAAGGAAUACCGGUGGCGAAGGCGGCCCCCUGGACAGAUACUGACACUCAGAUGCGAAAGCGUGGGGAGCAAACAGGAUUAGAUACCCUGGUAGUCCACGCCGUAAACGAUGUCUACUUGGAGGUUGUGGCCUUGAGCCGUGGCUUUCGGAGCUAACGCGUUAAGUAGACCGCCUGG